This 1372-nucleotide ribosomal RNA is filed under the name uncultured bacterium. Its description in RNAcentral is "bacterial SSU rRNA". It matches the Rfam family "Bacterial small subunit ribosomal RNA", at positions 28 to 1381 of the family's 1533-position model. The record is from RNAcentral.
GAUGAACGCUGGCGGCGUGCCUAAUACAUGCAAGUCGAGCGAACGGACGAGAAGCUUGCUUCUCUGAUGUUAGCGGCGGACGGGUGAGUAACACGUGGAUAACCUACCUAUAAGACUGGGAUAACUUCGGGAAACCGGAGCUAAUACCGGAUAAUAUUUUGAACCGCAUGGUUCAAAAGUGAAAGACGGUCUUGCUGUCACUUAUAGAUGGAUCCGCGCUGCAUUAGCUAGUUGGUAAGGUAACGGCUUACCAAGGCAACGAUGCAUAGCCGACCUGAGAGGGUGAUCGGCCACACUGGAACUGAGACACGGUCCAGACUCCUACGGGAGGCAGCAGUAGGGAAUCUUCCGCAAUGGGCGAAAGCCUGACGGAGCAACGCCGCGUGAGUGAUGAAGGUCUUCGGAUCGUAAAACUCUGUUAUUAGGGAAGAACAUAUGUGUAAGUAACUGUGCACAUCUUGACGGUACCUAAUCAGAAAGCCACGGCUAACUACGUGCCAGCAGCCGCGGUAAUACGUAGGUGGCGAGCGUUAUCCGGAAUUAUUGGGCGUAAAGCGCGCGUAGGCGGUUUUUUAAGUCUGAUGUGAAAGCCCACGGCUCAACCGUGGAGGGUCAUUGGAAACUGGAAAACUUGAGUGCGGAAGAGGAAGGUGGAAUUCCAUGUGUAGCGGUGAAAUGCGCAGAGAUAUGGAGGAACACCAGUGGCGAAGGCGACUUUCUGGUCUGUAACUGACGCUGAUGUGCGAAAGCGUGGGGAUCAAACAGGAUUAGAUACCCUGGUAGUCCACGCCGUAAACGAUGAGUGCUAAGUGUUAGGGGGUUUCCGCCCCUUAGUGCUGCAGCUAACGCAUUAAGCACUCCGCCUGGGGAGUACGACCGCAAGGUUGAAACUCAAAGGAAUUGACGGGGACCCGCACAAGCGGUGGAGCAUGUGGUUUAAUUCGAAGCAACGCGAAGAACCUUACCAAAUCUUGACAUCCUUUGACAACUCUAGAGAUAGAGCCUUCCCCUUCGGGGGACAAAGUGACAGGUGGUGCAUGGUUGUCGUCAGCUCGUGUCGUGAGAUGUUGGGUUAAGUCCCGCAACGAGCGCAACCCUUAAGCUUAGUUGCCAUCAUUAAGUUGGGCACUCUAAGUUGACUGCCGGUGACAAACCGGAGGAAGGUGGGGAUGACGUCAAAUCAUCAUGCCCCUUAUGAUUUGGGCUACACACGUGCUACAAUGGACAAUACAAAGGGCAGCGAAACCGCGAGGUCAAGCAAAUCCCAUAAAGUUGUUCUCAGUUCGGAUUGUAGUCUGCAACUCGACUACAUGAAGCUGGAAUCGCUAGUAAUCGUAGAUCAGCAUGCUACGGUGAAUACGUUCCCGGGUCU